This 313-nucleotide ribosomal RNA is filed under the name uncultured microorganism. RNAcentral describes it as "bacterial SSU rRNA". It matches the Rfam family "Bacterial small subunit ribosomal RNA", at positions 9 to 318 of the family's 1533-position model. The record is from RNAcentral.
GAGUUUGAUCGUGGCUCAGAUUGAACGCUGGCGGCAUGCCUUACACAUGCAAGUCGAACGGCAGCAUGAUCUAGCUUGCUAGAUUGAUGGCGAGUGGCGAACGGGUGAGUAAUACAUCGGAACGUGCCCUGUAGUGGGGGAUAACUAGUCGAAAGAUUAGCUAAUACCGCAUACGACCUGAGGGUGAAAGUGGGGGACCGCAAGGCCUCAUGCUAUAGGAGCGGCCGAUGUCUGAUUAGCUAGUUGGUGGGGUAAAGGCCCACCAAGGCGACGAUCAGUAGCUGGUCUGAGAGGACGAUCAGCCACACUGGGA